Small nuclear RNA from Artibeus jamaicensis (Jamaican fruit-eating bat), 170 nucleotides. RefSeq annotates it as U1 spliceosomal RNA. The record is from RefSeq and is a predicted model, not a curated record. Lineage: Eukaryota; Metazoa; Chordata; Mammalia; Chiroptera; Phyllostomidae. The transcript has a single exon.
AUACGUACCUGGCAGGGGAGAUACCACGAUCCCGAUCCCGAAGGUGGUUUUCCCAGGGCACGCCUUAUCCAUUGCACUCCGGAUGUGCUGACCCCUGGGAUUUCCCCAAACGUGGGGAGCUCAACUGCAUAAUUUGUGAUGGUUGGGGACUGCGUUUGCACUCUCCUCUU